AACAUAUAAAACUCUGCAGCAACAAUCUACUGCAGUAAUCUUGUUAUUCACUUUAAAGUUAAGACUUCCGGCAACAACACCUCUGGCACUCUAUAGAUUCCCUAGAUGUGACAAGCGAAGUAUAAAAGGAUACUUAAGACUCCUUGAAAGUAGUAACUUUGUUUAUUUAUUUGUGUUGAAAGUAGUAACUUUUAGACUCCUUGAAUACUUAAAGAAUAUUUUGUUGUUGAUGACAGUGUUGAAUGUUUUAAACUAAAUUGUGGAUUGUUAAUUCAAUGUUGAAUGUUCUUACUUUUUGUUAUUUGAAAAUCAAGUUCAUUUGAUGA
Humulus lupulus (European hop) is the source of this 326-nucleotide long non-coding RNA. RefSeq lists it as uncharacterized. The record is from RefSeq and is a predicted model, not a curated record. NCBI's taxonomy places the organism in Eukaryota, Viridiplantae, Streptophyta, Magnoliopsida, Rosales, Cannabaceae. The transcript is spliced from 2 exons.